CCCGUCCUGUUUACUUUCAGAUACUUCUGCCCUUUUGGACUUGGAAACCAAAUUAAAGGAAGCGCGGAAGACCGCCGGAAGUAAUGCGUUGUAUUAUGCUGGAAUGUUUCUGUGGCUCCUAAAUAAAAAUGAUAAAGCAAAGGAGUAUGUUGACAGAAUGCUGAAAGUGUCUAAUGGAGCAAGAGAGGGACUAGUUUUGAAAGGAUGGAUAUAUGUUACCAGUGACAAAGCUCAUGCUGCUAAGAAGGCUAUAAAAUAUUUGGAUGAAGGGAUUCAAGACAAUACAGAAAUAUUUGGGAUGAUGGGAAAGGCAAAAUAUUUCAUGGUGCAACAGAAUUACUCCGGAGCUCU
Non-coding RNA from Podarcis muralis (Common wall lizard), 351 nucleotides. NCBI's taxonomy places the organism in Eukaryota, Metazoa, Chordata, Lepidosauria, Squamata, Lacertidae. The record is from RefSeq and is a predicted model, not a curated record.